This 253-nucleotide ribosomal RNA is filed under the name uncultured bacterium. RNAcentral's name for it is "partial 16S ribosomal RNA". It matches the Rfam family "Bacterial small subunit ribosomal RNA", at positions 524 to 776 of the family's 1533-position model. The record is from RNAcentral.
UACGGAGGGGGCUAGCGGUGUUCGGAAUUACUGGGCGUAAAGCGCGCGUAGGCGGACCGGCAAGUCGGGGGUGAAAGCCCGAGGCUCAACCUCGGAAUUGCCUUCGAUACUGCGAAUCUCGAGGCCGGGAGAGGUGAGUGGAAUGCCGAGUGUAGAGGUGAAAUUCGUAGAUAUUCGCCGGAACACCAGUGGCGAAGGCGGCUCACUGGCCCGAUACUGACGCUGAGGUGCGACAGCGUGGGGAGCAAACAGG